AACCAGCUUGAAGGAAUUGUAAAUGAGAUCCUGAACAGGUAUAGACCACACUACGGGAUUAGAAACUUCCCCAUGUUCAGUCUGGCUGUAAACAUCCCAU
Long non-coding RNA from Scomber scombrus (Atlantic mackerel), 100 nucleotides. RefSeq lists it as uncharacterized. NCBI's taxonomy places the organism in Eukaryota, Metazoa, Chordata, Actinopteri, Scombriformes, Scombridae. The transcript is spliced from 3 exons. The record is from RefSeq and is a predicted model, not a curated record.